CGUUCUCCACCUCAUGCCAAAAGGAAACAGUAAAAUAACAGUGCUGCAGUGCUGGGUUUUGGACAUUGUGUGUGCCAAGUGCACAAAAGGACCCAAAUGGCACAUUGAAGAUACACAUUGGAAAAUUAAUUAGCGCUUCGAGGCGAACGAGCAAUAUUAACAAAGAUUAAUGAAACAUAAAUAGUUACAGUGGAAUAUCGGUACCAUUGGAGAAUCGAAUGAAUUUCUUCUUCUAGUAUGGCAACACUGUUGUGUGCACAUAAGUAUAACGGUAAACUUUCUCUUUGUGACACGACCAUCGCAUCAGCAGUCACUCAUCCUCAGUUAGAAGUCAGGCAUUGAAGCGUGCAGAUGUUUAGUCAAGAACAGUGAAUGAUUGAAUUUAAGAAUUUGGUGAGUUAGCUUACAAUUUAACAACAGUCUCAAAGUGAAAUGUGCAUGGAGAUGAAACAUGGGAAUUGGCAUGAUUGUAAUCACAAAGUGUCAACAUCGUUAUGCCUCUCAUCAAUAUUUGUGAAGCUUUUUAUCUGGACAAGGAAUGCUACGGAAUGCUCUCAUCCAUCCCACUUUCAAUCAAGUGCAUAAAUUCUGCACCUGCAGGACGCAGCCAACACAACAACGAGUCAGCCAUAUCAACCAUACGCUUCUGCAUUCUAAUUAGCUCCACCCAGGUUGUAACACCAAAACCGAGGCAGCUAUUUGUCAAAAACGAAAUGAAAAGCUUAAUAAAGGAAGCAAGUGCACCAACCAAUCGACCAAUUUGAAAUGGUAGCUGAAAUUUUUCAAAUUAUCUUAUAUGGGAACAAAAAUUGCGUGAGUUUGCAACUGGAUGUGCUUAUUAUGGUCCUGGUUUGUCACAAACACGCACACACACACACACUCGCACGAGCUCAUUCAUAUGCUUGACCAAUGUUUUUGAAUGAUAAAAAUCUUGAAGAGUUGGUCUUAUCUUAAGAAUGGCAUCAAUAAAAGAACUUUGCAUGGCUGAUGCAACGCUUAGAGAGUAUAGAAAGGUGAAAGAAUGUGCACGAGAUGGCAUCGGCGGACAUACAUCAGACGUGUGGA
Molecule: long non-coding RNA, 1065 nt
Organism: Stomoxys calcitrans (stable fly)
Lineage: Eukaryota; Metazoa; Arthropoda; Insecta; Diptera; Muscidae
Exons: 4
Source: RefSeq, a predicted model, not a curated record